UACAGAGGUCUCAAGCGUUGUUCGGAUUCAUUGGGCGUAAAGGGUGCGUAGGCCGCACGGUAAGUCAGACGUGAAAUCCCUCAGCUUAACUGGGGAACUGCGUCUGAGACUGAUUGGCUCGAGGACAGGAGAGGAACGCGGAAUUCCAGGUGUAGCGGUGAAAUGCGUAGAUAUCUGGAGGAACACCGGUGGCGAAGGCGGCGUUCUGGACUGUUUCUGACACUGAAUAACGAAAGCCAGGGGAGCAAACGGG
This 253-nucleotide ribosomal RNA is filed under the name uncultured bacterium. RNAcentral's name for it is "partial 16S ribosomal RNA". It matches the Rfam family "Bacterial small subunit ribosomal RNA", at positions 524 to 776 of the family's 1533-position model. The record is from RNAcentral.